Molecule: ribosomal RNA, 33 nt
Filed under: Mucor irregularis
Lineage: Eukaryota; Fungi; Mucoromycota; Mucoromycetes; Mucorales; Mucoraceae
Description: partial 18S ribosomal RNA
Source: RNAcentral
UCCGUAGGUGAACCUGCGGAAGGAUCAUUAAAU